GAUGAACGCUGGCGGCGUGCCUAAUACAUGCAAGUCGAGCGAACAGAUAAGGAGCUUGCUCCUUUGACGUUAGCGGCGGACGGGUGAGUAACACGUGGGUAACCUACCUAUAAGACUGGAAUAACUCCGGGAAACCGGGGCUAAUGCCGGAUAACAUUUAGAACCGCAUGGUUCUAAAGUGAAAGAUGGUUUUCCUAUAACUUAUGAUGGAACCCGCGCCGUAUUAGCUAGUUGGUAAGGUAACGGCUUACCAAGGCAACGAUACGUAGCCGACCUGAGAGGGUGAUCGGCCACACUGGAACUGAGACACGGUCCAGACUCCUACGGGAGGCAGCAGUAGGGAAUCUUCCGCAAUGGGCGAAAGCCUGACGGAGCAACGCCGCGUGAGUGAUGAAGGUCUUCGGAUCGUAAAACUCUGUUAUUAGGGAAGAACAAAUGUGUAAGUAACUGUGCACGUCUUGACGGUACCUAAUCAGAAAGCCACGGCUAACUACGUG
Molecule: ribosomal RNA, 497 nt
Filed under: uncultured bacterium
Lineage: Bacteria
Description: partial 16S ribosomal RNA
Rfam family: Bacterial small subunit ribosomal RNA
Source: RNAcentral